This 251-nucleotide ribosomal RNA is filed under the name uncultured bacterium. Its description in RNAcentral is "partial 16S ribosomal RNA". It matches the Rfam family "Bacterial small subunit ribosomal RNA", at positions 525 to 775 of the family's 1533-position model. The record is from RNAcentral.
ACGUAGGGUGCAAGCGUUGUCCGGAAUUACUGGGUGUAAAGGGAGCGCAGGCGGACCGGCAAGUUGGAAGUGAAAACUAUGGGCUCAACCCAUAAAUUGCUUUCAAAACUGCUGGCCUUGAGUGGUGCAGAGGUAGGUGGAAUUCCCGGUGUAGCGGUGGAAUGCGUAGAUAUCGGGAGGAACACCAGUGGCGAAGGCGACCUACUGGGCACCAACUGACGCUGAGGCUCGAAAGCAUGGGUAGCAAACAG